UACAGAGGUCCCAAGCGUUACUGAGAAUCACUGGGUUUAAAGGGUGCGUAGGUGGUCCGUUAAGUUCGUUGUGAAAUCCCUGGGCUCAACCCAGGAACUGCUUCGAAUACUGACGGACUUGAGGCUAGUAGGGGUCACUAGAACUGACGGUGGAGCGGUGAAAUGCGUAGAUAUCGUCAGGAAUGCCGGUGGCGAAAGCGGAGUGCUGGUCCUUUUCUGACGCUGAGGCACGAAGGCCAGGGGAGCAAACGGG
This 253-nucleotide ribosomal RNA is filed under the name uncultured bacterium. RNAcentral describes it as "partial 16S ribosomal RNA". It matches the Rfam family "Bacterial small subunit ribosomal RNA", at positions 524 to 776 of the family's 1533-position model. The record is from RNAcentral.